CCGGUAAACGGCGGCCGUAACUAUAACGGUCCUAAGGUAGCGAAAUUCCUUGUCGGGUAAGUUCCGACCUGCACGAAUGGCGUAAUGAUGGCCAGGCUGUCUCCACCCGAGACUCAGUGAAAUUGAACUCGCUGUGAAGAUGCAGUGUACCCGCGGCAAGACGGAAAGACCCCGUGAACCUUUACUAUAGCUUGACACUGAACAUUGAGCCUUGAUGUGUAGGAUAGGUGGGAGGCUUUGAAGUGUGGACGCCAGUCUGCAUGGAGCCGACCUUGAAAUACCACCCUUUAAUGUUUGAUGUUCUAACGUUGACCCGUAAUCCGGGUUGCGGACAGUGUCUGGUGGGUAGUUUGACUGGGGCGGUCUCC
RNAcentral lists this ribosomal RNA (368 nucleotides) under Escherichia coli. RNAcentral's name for it is "partial 23S ribosomal RNA". It matches the Rfam family "Bacterial large subunit ribosomal RNA", at positions 1920 to 2287 of the family's 2925-position model. The record is from RNAcentral. Lineage: Bacteria; Pseudomonadati; Pseudomonadota; Gammaproteobacteria; Enterobacterales; Enterobacteriaceae.